CUUAGUUGAGACGUGAUAACGCAACACUCUUCGGAGUGCCAAGUGAGUGAUACCAUGCUUCCAGGAAAAGCCACUAAGCUUCAGUUGGAUGAAGACCGUACCGUAAACCGACACAGGUGGGUAGGAUGAGAAUUCUAAGGCGCUUGAGAGAACUCAGGAGAAGGAACUCGGCAAAAUAGCACCGUAACUUCGGGAAAAGGUGUGCCCUUUGUAUGUGUAGCGCCUCGCGCGUGAAGCAGAAUAGGGUUGCAAUGAAUUGGUGGCUGCGACUGUUUAAUAAAAACAUAGCACUCUGCAAACACGAAAGUGGACGUAUAGAGUGUGACGCCUGCCCGGUGCCGGAAGGUUAAAUGAUGGGGUGCAAGCUCUUGAUUGAAGCCCCGGUAAACGGCGGCCGUAACAAUAACGGUCCUAAGGUAGCGAAAUUCCUUGUCGGGUAAGUUCCGACCUGCACGAAUGGCGUAACGAUGGCCACACUGUCUCCUCCUGGGACUCAGCGAAGUUGAAAUGUUUGUGAAGAUGCAAUCUCCCCGCGGCUAGACGGAAAGACCCCGUGCACCUUUACUGUAGCUUUACAUUGGACUUUGAUAACAUUUGUGUAGGAUAGGUGGGAGGCUUUGAAGUGGAUUCGCUAGAAUUCAUGGAGCCGACGUUGAAAUACCACCCUGAUGUUGUCGGGGUUCUAACCUAGAUCCAUUAUCUGGAUUGGGGACCGUGUAUGGUAGGCAGUUUGACUGGGGCGGUCUCCUCCCAAAUUGUAACGGAGGAGUACGAAGGUACGCUAGGUACGGUCGGAAAUCGUGCUGAUAGUGCAAUGGCAAAAGCGUGCUUAACUGCGAGACUGACGAGUCGAGCAGAUGCGAAAGCAGGUCAUAGUGAUCCGGUGGUUCUGUAUGGAAGGGCCAUCGCUCAACGGAUAAAAGGUACGCCGGGGAUAACAGGCUGAUUCCUCCCAAGAGUUCAUAUCGACGGGGGAGUUUGGCACCUCGAUGUCGGCUCAUCACAUCCUGGGGCUGUAGCCGGUCCCAAGGGUAUGGCUGUUCGCCAUUUAAAGUGGUACGUGAGCUGGGUUUAAAACGUCGUGAGACAGUUUGGUCCCUAUCUGCCGUGGGCGUUGGAAGUUUGAGUGGACCUGCUCCUAGUACGAGAGGACCGGAGUGGACGCACCUCUGGUGUACCGGUUAUGACGCCAGUCGUAUCGCCGGGUAGCUAUGUGCGGAAGAGAUAACCGCUGAAAGCAUCUAAGCGGGAAACUCUCCUCAAGAUGAGACUUCCCGAGGGUC
RNAcentral lists this ribosomal RNA (1283 nucleotides) under metagenome. RNAcentral's name for it is "bacterial LSU rRNA". It matches the Rfam family "Bacterial large subunit ribosomal RNA", at positions 1551 to 2822 of the family's 2925-position model. The record is from RNAcentral.